GACGAACGCUGGCGGCGUGCUUAACACAUGCAAGUCGAACGGAAAGGCCCUGCUUUUGUGGGGUGCUCGAGUGGCGAACGGGUGAGUAACACGUGAGUAACCUGCCCUUGACUUUGGGAUAACUUCAGGAAACUGGGGCUAAUACCGGAUAGGAGCUCCUGCUGCAUGGUGGGGGUUGGAAAGUUUCGGCGGUUGGGGAUGGACUCGCGGCUUAUCAGCUUGUUGGUGAGGUAGUGGCUUACCAAGGCUUUGACGGGUAGCCGGCCUGAGAGGGUGACCGGCCACAUUGGGACUGAGAUACGGCCCAGACUGCUACGGGAGGCAGCAGUGGAGAAUAUUGCACAAUGGGCGGAAGCCUGAUGCAGCAACGCCGCGUGCGGGAUGACGGCCUUCGGGUUGUAAACCGCUUUCGCCUGUGACGAAGCGUGAGUGACGGUAAUGGGUAAAGAAGCACCGGCUAACUACGUG
RNAcentral lists this ribosomal RNA (468 nucleotides) under uncultured bacterium. RNAcentral describes it as "partial 16S ribosomal RNA". It matches the Rfam family "Bacterial small subunit ribosomal RNA", at positions 28 to 507 of the family's 1533-position model. The record is from RNAcentral.